CUACGUGCCAGCAGCCGCGGUCAUACGUAGGAUCCGAGCAUUAUCCGGAGUGACUGGGUGUAAAGAGUUGCGUAGGUGGCAUAGUAAGUAGAUAGUGAAAUCUGGUGGCUCAACCAUUCAGACUAUUAUCUAAACUGCUAAGCUCGAGACCGUUAGGGGUAACUGGAAUUUCUAGUGUAGGAGUGAAAUCCGUAGAUAUUAGAAGGAACACCGAUAGCGUAGGCAGGUUACUGGGACGGUUCUGACACUAAGGCACGAAAGCGUAGGGAGCAAACGGGAUUAGAUACCCCGGUAGUCUACGCCGUAAACGAUGGAUACUAGCAGUUUUGGGUAUCGACCCCCGGAGUUGCGAAGCUAACGCGUUAAGUAUCCCACCUGUGUAGUACGAUCGCAAGAUUAAAACAUAAAGGAAUUGACGGGGACCCGCACAAGCGGUGGAGCGUGAUCUUUAAUUCGAUGGUAAACGAUAAACCUUACCAAGGCUUGACA
This 489-nucleotide ribosomal RNA is filed under the name uncultured bacterium. RNAcentral's name for it is "bacterial SSU rRNA". It matches the Rfam family "Bacterial small subunit ribosomal RNA", at positions 501 to 986 of the family's 1533-position model. The record is from RNAcentral.